This 522-nucleotide ribosomal RNA is filed under the name uncultured bacterium. RNAcentral describes it as "bacterial SSU rRNA". It matches the Rfam family "Bacterial small subunit ribosomal RNA", at positions 15 to 518 of the family's 1533-position model. The record is from RNAcentral.
GAUCCUGGCUCAGGAUGAACGCUGGCGGCGUGCCUAACACAUGCAAGUCGAACGAAGCUCUUCAGACGGCGAAUUCGUCAAAGUCUGAAGAUGACUGAGUGGCGGACGGGUGAGUAACGCGUGGGCAACCUGCCCUUAUCUGGGGGGAUAGCAGACGGAAACGACUGGUAAUACCGCAUAAGCGCACGGUAAGGCAUCUUACAGUGUGAAAAGAUUUAUUGGAUAGGGAUGGACCCGCGUCUGAUUAGAUAGGUUGGUGAGGUAACGGCUCACCAAGUCGACGAUCAGUAGCCGGACUGAGAGGUCGGACGGCCACAUUGGGGACUGAGAGACGGCCCAAACUCCUACGGGAGGCAGCAGUGGGGGAUAUUGCACAAUGGGCGGAAGCCUGAUGCAAGCGACGCCGCGUGAGUGAAGAAGUAUUUCGGUAUGUAAAGCUCAAUCAACCGGGAAGAAAGGCCCCGUAAGGGGAGAUGACGGUACCGGAACAGAAGCCCCGGCUAACUACGUGCCAGCCGCCGC